RNAcentral lists this unclassified non-coding RNA (390 nucleotides) under soil metagenome. RNAcentral's name for it is "partial contains 5.8S ribosomal RNA, internal transcribed spacer 2, and large subunit ribosomal RNA". The stretch from base 1 to 122 matches the Rfam family "5.8S ribosomal RNA", at positions 35 to 154 of the family's 154-position model. The record is from RNAcentral.
GAUGAAGAACGUAGCGAAAUGCGAUACUUGGUGUGAAUUGCAGAAUCCCGUGAACCAUCGAGUCUUUGAACGCAAGUUGCGCCCGAAGCCAUUAGGCCGAGGGCACGCCUGCCUGGGCGUCACACGUCGUUGCCCCCCCAUCUACUCCUUCGGGAUUGCGAGGGGCGGAUGAUGGCCUCCCGUGCGCCUCGUCGCGCGGUUGGCAUAAAUGCCAAGUCCUCGGCGACGCACGCCACGACAAUCGGUGGUUGCGAAACCUCGGUUGCCCGUCGUGUGCGGUCGUCGCGCAUCGAGGGCUCGAAAAAAUUGCCGGGCUCCGGCUCGGCUUUCAACGCGACCCCAGGUCAGGCGGGGUUACCCGCUGAAUUUAAGCAUAUCAUAAGCGGAGGA